GGCCGCUCUGGUGGCCUAAUGGUUAGAGCGUCCGCCUCGGAUGCGGGAGGUCGCAGGUUCGAACCCCGGCCGAGUCA
Non-coding RNA from Potamilus streckersoni, 77 nucleotides. The record is from the annotation of a GenBank genome assembly. NCBI's taxonomy places the organism in Eukaryota, Metazoa, Mollusca, Bivalvia, Unionida, Unionidae.